AUCCUUUUGUAGUUCAUAAACAUAGUAAUUAGGUGUUCCCAUUCAUGUGUGAGACGUGCCCCCCAAAGAGCUUGUUACAGCAUUGGUACAUUACCUGUCUGAUG
Macaca fascicularis (crab-eating macaque) is the source of this 104-nucleotide small nucleolar RNA. NCBI's taxonomy places the organism in Eukaryota, Metazoa, Chordata, Mammalia, Primates, Cercopithecidae. The record is from Ensembl.